Molecule: ribosomal RNA, 449 nt
Filed under: uncultured bacterium
Lineage: Bacteria
Description: partial 16S ribosomal RNA
Rfam family: Bacterial small subunit ribosomal RNA
Source: RNAcentral
AAUGAACGCUGGCGGCAGGCCUAACACAUGCAAGUCGAACGGAUCCUUCGGGAUUAGUGGCGGACGGGUGAGUAACGCGUGGGAACAUACCCAAAGGUACGGAAUAGCCUCGGGAAACUGGGAGUAAUACCGUAUGUGCUCGAAAGAGGAAAGGUUUAUCGCCUUUGGAUUGGCCCGCGUUGGAUUAGGUAGUUGGUGGGGUAAUGGCCUACCAAGCCGACGAUCCAUAGCUGGUUUGAGAGGAUGAUCAGCCACACUGGGACUGAGACACGGCCCAGACUCCUACGGGAGGCAGCAGUGGGGAAUCUUAGACAAUGGGGGAAACCCUGAUCUAGCUAUGCCGCGUGAGUGAUGAAGGCCUUAGGGUUAUAAAGCUCUUUUACCCGGGAUGAUAAUGACAGUACCGGGAGAAUAAGCCCCGGCUAACUCCGUGCCAGCAGCCGCGGUAA